This 91-nucleotide transfer RNA is filed under the name Streptomyces lacrimifluminis. Its description in RNAcentral is "tRNA-Val". Lineage: Bacteria; Bacillati; Actinomycetota; Actinomycetes; Kitasatosporales; Streptomycetaceae. The record is from RNAcentral.
GCGCCCUGGGCGGCCCGGGUCACCGUGCGCCGGAUGACCGCCGACGGCGCGGUCGUCGCCGAGGCGUCGCUCGGGGCCGACGUGGACGCGC